UUCUUUUUCAUUCUGCAUCCCUGAUCCAGAUUCUCUUACGCGUACAGAUGUGCAGGUUAGUUUGGAACAGGGGUGGGGAAAUACACAAAGAGCAAGAAUCAGCGGAUGGUUGAGUUUUACUAAAAAAGUCUCCUGACCCAAGUUUGAGGGAAUAAACUUUGUCAUUUGCUGUUACUUAAUAGAGAUAGAUUGCUAGACAAACCCCCAAAAGACUGUUUCUUUUCUCCUGCUUACUAUUAUUCUCUUGAUGGCAGCUACCAUAAUUGCAGGAGUUUUCCCAUGAAGAAGAGAACCUAGCAAUUAAGAAAACAUUGGGUGAACAUGUGUUUUUCUCUCAUAACAGUGGGAAGAGCAUUCACGUGGGUUAGAGUUAAUGUUAAAGUUAACCAUGAAUCUCCUUCCUAUGCAAAGUCUCCAUGCUCAUAUACAUUAUAGGGAAAUCGUAAGCUCUUUUUAGAUUUGUUUGUUUAGGUUAGGAGUGGACCAAAUAGUUAUUUCAAGAAGGAGAAAAAGUUGUACAAUAGUUUAUUGAGCUUGCUUUAUAAUAAUUACUAUAAGGGUUAUAUAAAUAUGUAUGAAUAUAUUAAUCAACACACAACACCCUCAAAAGUCAUAGAGCCAAUACGUGGCUGGGAAGGGCCUUCUGUCUAUAUCUCUGGCCCUUCCCACUAAAUUCCAGUGUGAGGAAUGGUUUGUGGGUUAUAGUUCCUCAGCCUCUGAGCUGGGCCACGCCAGGCCCUCCAGGUUGACAGCACAGCCGGGUAGCUAGAUCCUCGUAGCGCAGUUUGAAUUAAUGGGGGGAUCAGCAAGUUGGACAGCAAUAUUUCUAACAUAUUUGGAAAAUGUCAUUAGAAUAAAAUAAACCUUUGCUGAUUUUUCCACAUGACCUAAAAGGUCUGAUUAUUAUUCUGCCCUCUUCUCCCUAUUUCAUCCUAGCACUGUAAAACCAAGUCAAUAUUGACCUUCAAUUCUAUGUCUGGUGCCCUGAAGCUUGUGCAUUAAUAAAGCACAGAGAGAGGAGUUAUUGUUGCCAGUUUAUUUUUCAGUCUCGAAGACAGUAAUAGGACCAGGAUGUCCUCUUAGAGAGGAGGAAAAAACUUACUAAAGGUCAAAAAUAUUUUGAGUACUCCCUAAACGCUUUCAGGAGUCAAAGUACCUGCAAAAGGCUAUCAGGCUUGCUUCCACUGAAAGUCAUGUAUUAGCAAGGGAAUCUGGCACUUGUCUAUGGAGGUCAUCGAGUUCUGUCAUAUGGCUUCUUCAUCAAAAGCAUGCCUAUGAUUCCUCACCAGCACAGGUUCUCUUUCUAAAGGUAUUUCCUUUGAUGUCGCCACUCCUACUAUCCACAACUUGUUUCAGUUUUAUAGCUUCUAUUCUCUGUCAUUUUUUUUUGCAUAGUGGCAAAGGAAAUCUUAAUUGCUCUGAAUUUAGAGCCAGUCCUUAGACUGCUAGAUUAAUUCAUGUAUCAGUUCAACAAUUCAUUCAGGAAACAUUGAUUAAAACCACACUUGUGUUAUAUGCUGUGCAUAUAUGUGUAUGUACACUGUGAUAAGCAUGCAAAAAUUGAAAAACACACUUUGGAAAUAGGUAAUAGUGACAAUUGCACAAUAUUGUUAAUGUAAUUAAUGCCACUGAAUUGUAUAUUUGAAAAGGAAAAGCUUGUGUUACAUAUAUUUUACUGCAAUAAGAAAAAUAUUAUGCCAAAAAAAGUGAAUAAGACAAUCCUGGUCCUCACAGUGCCCACAGUCUAUUAGGAAAUACUGACAAUAAAGACACCCACACAAUAAAAUGUCGGUGAGAAGACAGAAGUAGGUAAAGGGCACAGUAAGUGCAAAGAAGGAAGCCAUGAACCAAAUUUAACUUUUUAUUUGUUUUUGUUUUGUUUUUUAGUUGUUGGUGCUGAUUAGGAAGGUCUUUGGAUGUGAAGCCUCAAAGAUGAGCAAUUCUUCUCUCCCCCAAAUGCAAUGGUACAGGCAAUAACAUUUGAAUGACAGUAGAGACCUUGCGUAGUUUAGUCCUAAGUCUAGCAUUUCUUUCUACCAUCAUUAAUUUUUCCUAUCCAGGACAGAGAUGAAGAUGAGACCAAAGAGCCAGCUAGAGCGCACAAUUUAAGGAGCAUUCCUUCUCAGGGACAGGCUGAAUGCACUUGCAUGGUCACUUGCAUAACCUUGAAAAAGCUUCUAUAUUUUUCUCUGUAUCAUUGCUUUGAAGCAAUUUGAUUAAGAUGUGCAGAGGUGAAAUUUGCCACGAGGGAGACCUGAAAAGAGGCUGUACAUGGUGAAGUCCACAUGUGACAGAGGGAAGGUGACAGCAAUCAAGUAGAAAUGAGAUGAUAAAUGCUGCCAGCAAUUAUUUGGGACAAGAGCUAGCAUGAGAAUAGGAAGGAAAUGGAAAAUUGAAAAACAAAAAUGAAGAAGAAUUUUUCCCCCUCCUGAGAACAUAGAAAAGGUUGAAGGGAAAGUGAAAGUUUAUGAAUGCACUGAUGAACACUGUGGGCAAAAAGUUUGUCAACAGUGUGCUUCGAGUGGAACUGAAAACACAGAAUGGACUUCAGAUUUGUGAAACUCCUAGAAUAGCAGCUGAUGAAGAAGAGAGGGAAUUUAAAAAGUCCAAAUUUAUGGCAUGCAACAGAUAUACAGGCUGAGAGAGGUGAAGAAGCUGAAGAAGAAAAGUUUGAAGCUGUCACAGGUUGGUGGAUGAAGUUUAAGAAAAGAAGGCAUCUCCAUAGCAAAAAAGUUUAAGGUGAAGUUAGCAAGUGCUGGUGUGGAUGCUGUGGUGAGUCAUCUGGAAGAUCCAGUUAAAAUAACUGAUAAAGGAUGCUGUACUAAAUAACAGAUUUUUAUCAUAAACAAAACUAUCUUAUAUUGGAAGAAAAUGCUAUCUAGGA
Non-coding RNA from Microcebus murinus (gray mouse lemur), 2884 nucleotides. The record is from RefSeq and is a predicted model, not a curated record. NCBI's taxonomy places the organism in Eukaryota, Metazoa, Chordata, Mammalia, Primates, Cheirogaleidae.